GACCAUCUCCUAAGGCUAAAUACUCUCUAGUGACCGAUAGUGAACCAGUACCGUGAGGGAAAGGUGAAAAGCACCCCGGAAGGGGAGUGAAAUAGAACCUGAAACCGUGUGCUUACAAGUAGUCAGAGCCCGUUAAUGGGUGAUGGCGUGCCUUUUGUAGAAUGAACCGGCGAGUUACGAUUUGAUGCAAGGUUAAGCAGUAAAUGUGGAGCCGUAGCGAAAGCGAGUCUGAAUAGGGCGUUUAGUAUUUGGUCGUAGACCCGAAACCAGGUGAUCUACCCUUGGUCAGGUUGAAGUUCAGGUAACACUGAAUGGAGGACCGAACCGACUUACGUUGAAAAGUGAGCGGAUGAACUGAGGGUAGCGGAGAAAUUCCAAUCGAACCUGGAGAUAGCUGGUUCUCUCCGAAAUAGCUUUAGGGCUAGCCUCAAGUGAUGAUUAUUGGAGGUAGAGCACUGUUUGGACGAGGGGCCC
Molecule: ribosomal RNA, 474 nt
Filed under: Staphylococcus aureus
Lineage: Bacteria; Bacillati; Bacillota; Bacilli; Caryophanales; Staphylococcaceae
Description: partial 23S ribosomal RNA
Rfam family: Bacterial large subunit ribosomal RNA
Source: RNAcentral